This 219-nucleotide unclassified non-coding RNA is filed under the name uncultured Paenibacillaceae bacterium. RNAcentral describes it as "contains 16S-23S intergenic spacer region". Lineage: Bacteria; Bacillati; Bacillota; Bacilli; Caryophanales; Paenibacillaceae. The record is from RNAcentral.
UCCGGUUUGUCACCGGCAGUCUCUCUAGAGUGCCCAACUAAAUGCUGGCAACUAAAGAUAAGGGUUGCGCUCGUUGCGGGACUUAACCCAACAUCUCACGACACGAGCUGACGACAACCAUGCACCACCUGUCACCCCUGUCCCCGAAGGGAAAGAUCUAUCUCUAAAUCGGUCAGGGGGAUGUCAAGCCUUGGUAAGGUUCUUCGCGUUGCGGGGUUA